This 32-nucleotide non-coding RNA is filed under the name Mus musculus (house mouse). The record is from RNAcentral. Lineage: Eukaryota; Metazoa; Chordata; Mammalia; Rodentia; Muridae.
UGUAACGGAAGUUAAGCCAAUUAGACCUCCAU